RNAcentral lists this ribosomal RNA (465 nucleotides) under uncultured bacterium. RNAcentral describes it as "partial 16S ribosomal RNA". It matches the Rfam family "Bacterial small subunit ribosomal RNA", at positions 28 to 506 of the family's 1533-position model. The record is from RNAcentral.
GAUGAACGCUGGCGGCGUGCUUAACACAUGCAAGUCGAACGGAAAGGCCACAGCUUGCUGUGGUACUCGAGUGGCGAACGGGUGAGUAACACGUGGGUGAUCUGCCCUGUACUUCGGGAUAAGCUUGGGAAACUGGGUCUAAUACCGGAUAGGAAUCACAUGUGGGUGUGUGGUUGGAAAGCUUUUGCGGUAUGGGAUGAGCUCGCGGCCUAUCAGCUUGUUGGUGGGGUAAUGGCCUACCAAGGCGUCGACGGGUAGCCGGCCUGAGAGGGUGUACGGCCACAUUGGGACUGAGAUACGGCCCAGACUCCUACGGGAGGCAGCAGUGGGGAAUAUUGCACAAUGGGCGCAAGCCUGAUGCAGCGACGCCGCGUGGGGGAUGACGGCCUUCGGGUUGUAAACUCCUUUCGUCAGGGACGAAGCGAAAGUGACGGUACCUGGAUAAGAAGCACCGGCUAACUACGU